Molecule: ribosomal RNA, 1346 nt
Filed under: uncultured bacterium
Lineage: Bacteria
Description: partial 16S ribosomal RNA
Rfam family: Bacterial small subunit ribosomal RNA
Source: RNAcentral
GACGAACGCUGUCGGCGUGCUUAACACAUGCAAGUCGAACGGAAAGGCCCUGCUUUUGUGGGGUGCUCGAGUGGCGAACGGGUGAGUAACACGUGAGUAACCUGCCCUUGACUUUGGGAUAACUUCAGGAAACUGGGGCUAAUACCGGAUAGGAGCUCCUGCUGCAUGGUGGGGGUUGGAAAGUUUCGGCGGUUGGGGAUGGACUCGCGGCUUAUCAGCUUGUUGGUGGGGUAGUGGCUUACCAAGGCUUUGACGGGUAGCCGGCCUGAGAGGGUGACCGGCCACAUUGGGACUGAGAUACGGCCCAGACUCCUACGGGAGGCAGCAGUGGGGAAUAUUGCACAAUGGGCGGAAGCCUGAUGCAGCAACGCCGCGUGCGGGAUGACGGCCUUCGGGUUGUAAACCGCUUUCGCCUGUGACGAAGCGUGAGUGACGGUAAUGGGUGAAGAAGCACCGGCUAACUACGUGCCAGCAGCCGCGGUGAUACGUAGGGUGCGAGCGUUGUCCGGAUUUAUUGGGCGUAAAGGGCUCGUAGGUGGUUGAUCGCGUCGGAAGUGUAAUCUUGGGGCUUAACCCUGAGCGUGCUUUCGAUACGGGUUGACUUGAGGAAGGUAGGGGAGAAUGGAAUUCCUGGUGGAGCGGUGGAAUGCGCAGAUAUCAGGAGGAACACCAGUGGCGAAGGCGGUUCUCUGGGCCUUUCCUGACGCUGAGGAGCGAAAGCGUGGGGAGCGAACAGGCUUAGAUACCCUGGUAGUCCACGCUGUAAACGGUGGGUACUAGGUGUGGGGUCCAUUCCACGGGUUCCGUGCCGUAGCUAACGCUUUAAGUACCCCGCCUGGGGAGUACGGCCGCAAGGCUAAAACUCAAAGGAAUUGACGGGGCCCCGCACAAGCGGCGGAGCAUGCGGAUUAAUUCGAUGCAACGCGUAGAACCUUACCUGGGUUUGACAUGGAUCGGGAGUGCUCAGAGAUGGGUGUGCCUCUUUUGGGGUCGGUUCACAGGUGGUGCAUGGCUGUCGUCAGCUCGUGUCGUGAGAUGUUGGGUUAAGUCCCGCAACGAGCGCAACCCUUGUUCACUGUUGCCAGCACGUUAUGGUGGGGACUCAGUGGAGACCGCCGGGGUCAACUCGGAGGAAGGUGGGGAUGACGUCAAGUCAUCAUGCCCCUUAUGUCCAGGGCUUCACGCAUGCUACAAUGGCUGGUACAGAGAGUGGCGAGCCUGUGAGGGUGAGCGAAUCUCGGAAAGCCGGUCUCAGUUCGGAUUGGGGUCUGCAACCCGACCUCAUGAAGUCGGAGUCGCUAGUAAUCGCAGAUCAGCAACGCUGCGGUGAAUACGUUCCCGGGGCU